This 557-nucleotide long non-coding RNA is filed under the name Panax ginseng (ginseng). Its description in RNAcentral is "long non-coding RNA (PGIN_LNC003309)". Lineage: Eukaryota; Viridiplantae; Streptophyta; Magnoliopsida; Apiales; Araliaceae. The record is from RNAcentral.
GGUUAACCUUUUAGGUAAGGAGGUGGUCCAACAUACUUAUUGGGCUCGUCUACACAGGUGUGUGCGCUGCUAAGGUGAUGAAUAGAUGUGGGAUGGAUCGUACAAUUCCGCUACAAGUGGUAUCAAAGCCCAUGGUUCGGUGGGAGUCCAAGUAUCAACUUCAAGGUGCGAGGGGGUGCGCGAGAGGUACAAUUCGUAGGCCUCGUGGGUGGAGUAAAUAGAGUUGAAUCAGGUGGAGCACGGGAGCACAUGAUGAUUUGAGUCGGGUGGAGCGGGCUUAGGAAGGCUCUAGGGAAAUUGGUGAGACACCCAGAACGUGGUGGAGUAAUAUUAGAGUCAAGCAAGGCUCUUGAAGGACUCAAAAAGUAUUUGAAUCGGGUGGAGCAUGGCUCGGGAUGGCUCUAGGAAAAACAGCUGGGAGUAGUAUUAGAGUCGAGCAGAGAGCUCUUGAAGGAUUCAAAGAAGGUGGAGAUUGUUGGGAUUUCACAUGAAUCCCACAUCGGUUAAAUUCAAGAGUGUAGAUGGCUUAAUAAGUAUGGUAGAACAUCAACCUAAUA